Molecule: ribosomal RNA, 460 nt
Filed under: uncultured bacterium
Lineage: Bacteria
Description: partial 16S ribosomal RNA
Rfam family: Bacterial small subunit ribosomal RNA
Source: RNAcentral
CCUACGUGAGGCAGCAGUGAGGAAUAUUGGUCAAUGGGCGCGAGCCUGAACCAGCCAAGUAGCGUGAAGGAUGACUGCCCUACGGGUUGUAAACUUCUUUUAUAAAGGAAUAAAGUGAGGCACGUGUGCCUUUUUGUAUGGAAUUUAUGAAUAAGGAUCGGCCAAAUCCGGGGCAGCAGCCGCGGGAAUACGGAGGAUCCGAGCGUUAUCCGGGUUUAUUGGGGUUAAAGGGAGCGUAGAUGGGUUGUUAAGUCAGUUGUGAAAGUUUGCGGGUCAACCGUAAGAUUGCAAUUGAUACUGGCAGUCUUGAGUACAGUUGAGGUAGGCGGAAUUCGUGGUGUAGCGGUGAAAUGCUUAGAUAUCACGAAGAACUCCGAUUGCGAAGGCAGCUUACUAAACUGCCACUGACAUUGAUGCUCGAAAGUGUGGGUAUCAAACAGGAUUAGAUACCCCGGUAGUC